ACACGGGGAGGUAGUGACAAUAAAUACUGAUACAGGGCUCUUUUGGGUCUUGUAAUCGGAAUGAGUACAAUUUAAAUCCCUUAACGAGGAACAAUUGGAGGGCAAGUCUGGUGCCAGCAGCCGCGGUAAUUCCAGCUCCAAUAGCGUAUAUUAAAGUUGUUGUGGUUAAAAAGCUCGUAGUUGAACCUUGGGCCUGGCUGGCCGGUCCCCCUCACCGGGUGCACUGAUCCAGCCGGGCUUUCCCCCCUGUGAACCCCCAUGCCCUUCACUGGCUGUGGC
Molecule: ribosomal RNA, 279 nt
Filed under: Lomentospora prolificans
Lineage: Eukaryota; Fungi; Ascomycota; Sordariomycetes; Microascales; Microascaceae
Description: Scedosporium prolificans Eukaryotic small subunit ribosomal RNA
Rfam family: Eukaryotic small subunit ribosomal RNA
Source: Rfam by way of RNAcentral